ACACUCCUGCGGGAGGCAGCAGUGGGGAAUAUUGCACAAUGGGCGCAAGCCUGAUGCAGCCAUGCCGCGUGUAUGAAGAAGGCCUUCGGGUUGUAAAGUACUUUCAGCGGGGAGGAAGGCGAUAAGGUUAAUAACCUUGUCGAUUGACGUUACCCGCAGAAGAAGCACCGGCUAACUCCGUGCCAGCAGCCGCGGUAAUACGGAGGGUGCAAGCGUUAAUCGGAAUUACUGGGCGUAAAGCGCACGCAGGCGGUCUGUCAAGUCGGAUGUGAAAUCCCCGGGCUCAACCUGGGAACUGCAUUCGAAACUGGCAGGCUAGAGUCUUGUAGAGGGGGGUAGAAUUCCAGGUGUAGCGGUGAAAUGCGUAGAGAUCUGGAGGAAUACCGGUGGCGAAGGCGGCCCCCUGGACAAAGACUGACGCUCAGGUGCGAAAGCGUGGGGAGCAAACAGGAUUAGAUACCCCGGUAGUCCCAUG
RNAcentral lists this ribosomal RNA (475 nucleotides) under uncultured organism. Its description in RNAcentral is "partial 16S ribosomal RNA". It matches the Rfam family "Bacterial small subunit ribosomal RNA", at positions 333 to 799 of the family's 1533-position model. The record is from RNAcentral.